GAUGAAGAACGUAGCGAAAUGCGAUAAGUAGUGUGAAUUGCAGAAUUCAGUGAAUCAUCGAAUCUUUGAACGCACAUUGCGCCCAUUAGUAUUCUAGUGGGCAUGCCUGUUCGAGCGUCAUUAAUUCCACUUAAGCCCUGCUUAGUGUUGGGAAUCUACUCUAGUGGUGCUACCCUGGAGCUACCCCUGAAAGGGGGCUGGCCCGGUAGCUACCCUGUAGUUCCUCAAAGAUAGUGCGCGGAGUUGCGUGGUCCUCUGAGCUUAGUAACUAUACACCUAGCUUUUGAGUGUCCCGCGGCGCCUGCCGUUUAAACCCCAUCUUUUAAUGGUUGACCUCGGAUCAGGUAGGAAUACCCGCUGAACUUAAGCAUAUCAAUAAGCGGAGGA
Molecule: unclassified non-coding RNA, 387 nt
Filed under: soil metagenome
Description: partial contains 5.8S ribosomal RNA, internal transcribed spacer 2, and large subunit ribosomal RNA
Rfam family: 5.8S ribosomal RNA (bases 1-120)
Source: RNAcentral